This 470-nucleotide ribosomal RNA is filed under the name uncultured bacterium. Its description in RNAcentral is "partial 16S ribosomal RNA". It matches the Rfam family "Bacterial small subunit ribosomal RNA", at positions 28 to 507 of the family's 1533-position model. The record is from RNAcentral.
GACGAACGCUGGCGGCGUGCCUAAUACAUGCAAGUAGAACGCUGAAGGACCAGCUUGCUGGUGUGGAUGAGUGGCGAACGGGUGAGUAAUACGUGAGUAACCUGCCCUUGACCGUGGGAUAAGCCCUGGAAACUGGGUCUAAUACUGCAUGCUACCAGUCAUCGCAUGGUGGUGUGUGGAAAGGGUUUACUGGUCUUGGAUGGGAUGACGGCCCAUCAGCUUGUUGGUGAGGUAAUGGCUCACCACGGCGACGGCAGGUAGCCGACCUGAGAGGGUGGACGGCGCCCCUGGGACUGAGAGAGGGCGCAGACGCCUACGGUAGGCAGCAGUGGGGAGUCUGACACAACAGGCGCGCGCCAGAUGCGGAGAUGCCGCGAUAGUGAAGACCGGUUUCAAGUUGAGAACCUGUGUCAGCAUGGAAGAAUCCACAAGUGACGGUACCUGCAGAAGAAGCGCCGGCUAACUACGUG